CUGGAUGCUGACGCGUCUACGGAGACAAUGAAGCGUUAAGUAUUGCUCAACGAACAAUUUAUCAUCGAGAUUGACAAUUCAUUGGGGAAGAAGAGGCAAGUGAGAGGCAAGAAGGGGAAAGAACUAGGACAAGGGUCGUACACGUUCGACUCUUCGCGGAGUUCUCACGCAUGCAUUAUCGGUAACAAACGCGGUAAAAGAAGGAAGGAAUUUUCGAGAUUCGAUCAGAAGGAAGCAAAAGGACGCGUGCCAAGUUGCUCCAUCACCGGUUGCUCCAUAUUCAUACUCUCGGAAUAGAUCUAGCGAAGAGCCUUAAAUGGAUCUCGACCAAGUGGUUUUUUACUUGGAAUGUCGAUACACGGCGAAAGAGAGGAGCCCUUUUACGAGAAAGGAGGCCCGUACUUACGGGUAUUUGCCCUUAAUCGUUACUACUCAUUUUAAAACUAUCGAAUAAUACUGGGAAGAGAACCAUACCAUCUUAAUGACGUCGAAGAGGUAACUCAAGGUUCUUGGUACUAUACCUUGGCUAUUGCUAGUUGAAACUUUACCCGUUAUCGUAUAGGUCUUGCCACUGCCUGUCUGUAAAUUCAAAUACCUUCGAUUACGAUCAAUGCACGUAUAGUCGUUCUUAACGAUAAUAAUGAUUUUGUAUCAUUGAAUUUAACGAAACGCAUCGAUCAUUUCGAUUUACCUGGCCAUAAGCGAAGACGGUACCAUUGUAACCAUCGAGGACACUUUAAUAAACGAAGAUACACAAGCAUAAAUAGCAAAAUUUAUGGAAUAAUGGAAUUCUCUUCACCUCUCGAUCACAGGCCGACCGACAUCCUCAAAGACAUCUUGCUGAUUCGCCUCUUCCUCGAUGAUACGGGGCUGCUUACGAAAACUUCCACGAUUCAGGACGAUGAUCGACAUACUCGUCGUCCUUAAAAGGUGCCAGCAACACCAAGAAAUCUUCUUUGCUGUGAUCCUUUGGUCGGCGAAGUAUACGAUAUUUCUGAAAGAAAGAUGUACAG
Molecule: long non-coding RNA, 1013 nt
Organism: Vespula vulgaris
Lineage: Eukaryota; Metazoa; Arthropoda; Insecta; Hymenoptera; Vespidae
Exons: 3
Source: RefSeq, a predicted model, not a curated record